GUUCUAUUCCCAGGGAUACUGAUGUUAUUUCCUGGUUGCAGAAAUGGCUAGAGAGGCCCAGCAUUGGGCUUGCCUCCCACACACUGCCUUUCUGGGCCUCUACUUCUGGAGCCAAGCCACCUGCCAAGAGGAACCGAGAAUCUCCAGCUGUAGCAUCAGCAGGAACUGUUAACACUAUAAUGGCAAAGGGAAAGCCUGGGUGCCCCAACAGCAAUACCAUAUUGGGGCCCAGAGCCACUGAGAACUCAGCCCCCAGCUCUUGAGUACUUAGGGUGUGUUCAGGCCAGUUCGUCGUCAUAUGGUGUUCACUGCCAGGAAUGAGCUUUCUGUUCCCCUAGAAACCUCAAGUUGCUUUGGCUCUGUCAUCAAGGGUGCAUAACUUGCCGGUUUGAGGAACAACAACAACAACCUCAAAAAAAAACAAACAAAAAAAAAACCACAGAAGCCAGUGAAGCCUCUGGUCCCAGUUGAUGGAGAGGGGAGAGUAGGUGGUGAGGGAGUUCUGAGAGCAGCCCUUUCCACGUCUGUAGAGGCUGCCAGGAUAUUUGCAGUUUAGCAGUGUUCAUUCUGCUUCUAGGUGGGGAACCAAAGCCCAAAGUGAUCAUUGGCGGAGGGAGACUGAAGACUUCCUGCCAGAGCCUGUGGGCAGGCUCCAGGGAAGCUUCAUGUUUGACUAUUUCCAUUACUCAAUAUGAGCCUGAAAGGAAGUAAGGGAACAGCUGGAAAGAAGCAUUAACUGGAAAUUUUUUUCACUGAACUUUAUAUACUGUCUUAGUUACUUUUCUAGUAUUUGAUAAGACACCAUGACCAAGGCAAACUUAUAGAAAAACUUGUUUAAUUUGGGGCUCACAGUUUCAGAGGGUUAGAGUCUAUGACUAUCAUGGCGGGGAGCAUAGUAGUGAUAGAUAGGAGAUGGCACUAGAGUUGAAAAGACACUAGGAAUGGUGCUAGUCUUUUAAAACCUCAAAGCCCACCCCACCCCCCACCUCACCCCACCCUGUGAUACCUAUCCAAAAGGCCGUGCCUCCUAACCCUCCAGGGAGAGUUCCACCAGCUGGGGACCAAGUAAGUAUUUAAACAUGAACCUACUGGGGAGUUAUUCCUCAAACCACUGAAGAGUCAAGCACCAAAACAAAGUGACCAGCAGGGAUCACUUCUGAUACCACUAAAUCCAUCCUCCUUUUUGUAACUAAUGAGCAGGUGUGAGCAAGGCUUAUAUUUGGAUAGCAAGUAUCAUCUGUACGUCAUGGCUUGAGGUGCUGCACUCUGAAUGCAUCUCUGACUAGCAGGAUUACUGUUGACUUGAGGUCUUUUAGUUUAAAUAGAGUUUCCUGCUCUCUAAGGGAUUCUCUGGCAAGCACAUAACGGACCCCAAAUCCACAUAGCAACAAGUCCUCUGGUUCCUUCACAAAACAACAGCAAAUUUUGUUUUCUAAAAGGUUUUAUUUUGUUUUGUUUUGUUUUUUUCCAACGGGGGGGGGGGGGGACAUUUACGUUAGUAGCAACAGCGACUCUAUCAGCCUACAAGGGUUUUUAUUGUUCUUUUGCUUGUUUUAAGAUUGAAUACAUUCCUGUCCCCUGGGUUGAAUAGCUCUUGGGUUGGCACCAUGUUUUGACAACAUGCCUGGAAGAAUAUUUGUGACAAUGAGAAGCAGAAGUAGUCAUGCAUAAAAUUUGUCUGUCUUAAACAUGAAGCUUUGUAAGUUGUCCCCAGAUGUUAACUGAAAAUGCCUUAGUGUCAGUGCAGUCCCAGACUAGCAUUAUUCUGGAUCCACCUCCAUGAUAAAAGUGGUAUUAGUUCAGAGAUGAAUGAGAAUUUUGGCCACUUGACUAUGCAUGCUCAUAUAUACGCUGAACAGGGCCUCAAGAGGGGGCCAGCUUGCAGAGAAUCCUGCCAAACAGUGUUUUCAUAUUGGCAGCACAUGUUAGAAGACUAGGAAACCUGGUGAGCUCUUGGAGGGUAUAGUUUCUGCAUGAAGACAGUUUCCAGAUCUUAGUACUGUACAAAGCCAACUUGGAAUCCAUGGCUGGGGGUGUGGGGAGAGCUACUGUGGCUGAGGUUCUAGAGACGAGACAAGCUAAGAGCCACCAAAGCCUUCGGCUGUCAUGUUUCAUGAGUCCAGGCACUGGGUCACCAGAAAACAGCAAGGCUUUCUCAGCAUUUCUUGUAGGCUGAGUAGGAAGACACUACAAUGAGAUGUCUCAUGUGUAAUGGUGUAUGGAAGACUGAUGACAAGGACGCAGUAAACAAGUUCCCAGUCAAGCCACUAGGAGCAAGUCAGUGCAGUCAGGCAGGGGAGUUGUUGGCUUGUCAGGAUUGUUUGUCCGGUGCCCAUGUUUGGGUGCACAGCAAAUCAUCCCUUCACUUUGGCUACUUGACUAGUAAACACAGGUUGCUUUCUGGCACUG
This 2409-nucleotide long non-coding RNA is filed under the name Mus musculus (house mouse). RNAcentral describes it as "long non-coding RNA chr5:34487313-34489722". Lineage: Eukaryota; Metazoa; Chordata; Mammalia; Rodentia; Muridae. The record is from RNAcentral.